Molecule: small nuclear RNA, 117 nt
Filed under: Prolemur simus (greater bamboo lemur)
Lineage: Eukaryota; Metazoa; Chordata; Mammalia; Primates; Lemuridae
Description: U5 spliceosomal RNA (ENSPSMG00000022851.1)
Rfam family: U5 spliceosomal RNA
About the family: U5 RNA is a component of both types of known spliceosome. The precise function of this molecule is unknown, though it is known that the 5' loop is required for splice site selection and p220 binding, and that both the 3' stem-loop and the Sm site are important for Sm protein binding and cap methylation.
Source: Rfam by way of RNAcentral
AUGCUCUGGUGUCUCUUCAGAACAAAUAAAUCUUUCACUUUUUACUAAAGAUUUCCAUGGAGAGGAACAGUUGUGAGUUGGUAACCAAAUUUUUUUAGGCCUUGCUUAGACAGGGAU